CUACGUGCCAGCAGCCGCGGUAAUACGGAGGGUGCGAGCGUUAAUCGGAAUAACUGGGCGUAAAGGGCACGCAGGCGGUGACUUAAGUGAGGUGUGAAAGCCCCGGGCUUAACCUGGGAAUUGCAUUUCAUACUGGGUCGCUAGAGUACUUUAGGGAGGGGUAGAAUUCCACGUGUAGCGGUGAAAUGCGUAGAGAUGUGGAGGAAUACCGAAGGCGAAGGCAGCCCCUUGGGAAUGUACUGACGCUCAUGUGCGAAAGCGUGGGGAGCAAACAGGAUUAGAUACCCUGGUAGUCCACGCUGUAAACGAUGUCGAUUUGGGGGUUGAACUUUAAGUUUGGCGCCCGUAGCUAACGUGAUAAAUCGACCGCCUGGGGAGUACGGCCGCAAGGUUAAAACUCAAAUGAAUUGACGGGGGCCCGCACAAGCGGUGGAGCAUGUGGUUUAAUUCGAUGCAACGCGAAGAACCUUACCUACUCUUGACAUCCAUGGAAUCCUGUAGAGAUACGGGAGUGC
RNAcentral lists this ribosomal RNA (515 nucleotides) under uncultured bacterium. Its description in RNAcentral is "bacterial SSU rRNA". It matches the Rfam family "Bacterial small subunit ribosomal RNA", at positions 501 to 1017 of the family's 1533-position model. The record is from RNAcentral.